GACGAACGCUGGCGGCGUGCUUAACACAUGCAAGUCGAACGGAAAGGCCCUGCUUUUGUGGGGUGCUCGAGUGGCGAACGGGUGAGUAACACGUGAGUAACCUGCCCUUGACUUUGGGAUAACUUCAGGAAACUGGGGCUAAUACCGGAUAGGAGCUCCUGCUGCAUGGUGGGGGUUGGAAAGUUUCGGCGGUUGGGGAUGGACUCGCGGCUUAUCAGCUUGUUGGUGGGGUAGUGGCUUACCAAGGCUUUGACGGGUAGCCGGCCUGGGAGGGUGACCGGCCACAUUGGGCCUGAGAUACGGCCCAGACUCCUACGGGAGGCAACAGUGGGGAAUAUUGCACAAUGGGCGGAAGCCUGAUGCAGCAACGCCGCGUGCGGGAUGACGGCCUUCGGGUUGUAAACCGCUUUCGCCUGUGACGAAGCGUGAGUGACGGUAAUGGGUAAAGAAGCACCGGCUAACUACGU
This 467-nucleotide ribosomal RNA is filed under the name uncultured bacterium. Its description in RNAcentral is "partial 16S ribosomal RNA". It matches the Rfam family "Bacterial small subunit ribosomal RNA", at positions 28 to 506 of the family's 1533-position model. The record is from RNAcentral.